This 839-nucleotide ribosomal RNA is filed under the name uncultured bacterium. RNAcentral describes it as "bacterial SSU rRNA". It matches the Rfam family "Bacterial small subunit ribosomal RNA", at positions 70 to 904 of the family's 1533-position model. The record is from RNAcentral.
GGAGGGAAGCUUGCUUUCCUUGCCGGCGACCGGUGCACGGGUGAGUAACACGUAUGCAACCUGCCCUCUUCAGGGGGACAACCUUCCGAAAGGGAGGCUAAUCCCGCGUAUAUCGGUUUCGGGCAUCCGUUAUCGAGGAAAGAUUCAUCGGAAGAGGAUGGGCAUGCGGCGCAUUAGCUUGACGGCGGGGUAACGGCCCACCGUGGCGACGAUGCGUAGGGGUUCUGAGAGGAAGGUCCCCCACACUGGUACUGAGACACGGACCAGACUCCUACGGGAGGCAGCAGUGAGGAAUAUUGGUCAAUGGGAGAGAUCCUGAACCAGCCAAGCCGCGUGAGGGAAGACGGCCCUAUGGGUUGUAAACCUCUUUUGUCGGAGAACAAAACCCGGGACGUGUCCCGGACUGCGUGUAUCCGAAGAAAAAGCAUCGGCUAACUCCGUGCCAGCAGCCGCGGUAAUACGGAGGAUGCGAGCGUUAUCCGGAUUUAUUGGGUUUAAAGGGUGCGUAGGCGGUCCGUUAAGUCAGCGGUAAAAUUGCGGGGCUCAACCCCGUCGAGCCGUUGAAACUGGCAGACUUGAGUUGGCGAGAAGUACGCGGAAUGCGCGGUGUAGCGGUGAAAUGCAUAGAUAUCGCGCAGAACUCCGAUUGCGAAGGCAGCGUACCGGCCCCAGACUGACGCUGAGGCACGAAAGCGUGGGGAUCGAACAGGAUUAGAUACCCUGGUAGUCCACGCAGUAAACGAUGAAUGCUGGUUGUCCGGGACGAAUGAGACCUGGGCGGCGAAGCGAAAGCGAUAAGCAUUCCACCUGGGGAGUACGCCGGCAACGGUGAAACUCAA